UCUGAUGCAGCGAUGCCGCGUGAGUGAAGAAGGCCCUUGGGUUGUAAAGCUCUUUCGUCGGGGAAGAAAAUGACUGUACCCGAAUAAGAAGGUCCGGCUAACUUCGUGCCAGCAGCCGCGGUAAUACGAAGGGACCUAGCGUAGUUCGGAAUUACUGGGCUUAAAGAGUUCGUAGGUGGUUGAAAAAGUUGGUGGUGAAAUCCCAGAGCUUAACUCUGGAACUGCCAUCAAAACUUUUCGGCUAGAGUAUGAUAGAGGAAAGCAGAAUUUCUAGUGUAGAGGUGAAAUUCGUAGAUAUUAGAAAGAAUACCAAUUGCGAAGGCAGCUUUCUGGAUCAUUACUGACACUGAGGAACGAAAGCAUGGGUAGCGAAGAGGAUUAGAUACCCUCGUAGUCCAUGCCGUAAACGAUGUGUGUUAGACGUUGGAAAUUUAUUUUCAGUGUCGCAGCGAAAGCGAUAAACACACCGCCUGGGGAGUACGACCGCAAGGUUA
This 494-nucleotide ribosomal RNA is filed under the name uncultured Alphaproteobacteria bacterium. RNAcentral describes it as "bacterial SSU rRNA". It matches the Rfam family "Bacterial small subunit ribosomal RNA", at positions 382 to 896 of the family's 1533-position model. The record is from RNAcentral. Lineage: Bacteria; Pseudomonadati; Pseudomonadota; Alphaproteobacteria.